CCUACGGGAGGCAGCAGUGAGGAAUAUUGCGCAAUGGGGGCAACCCUGACGCAGCGACGCCGCGUGAGUGAGGAAGGCCUUCGGGUCGUAAAGCUCUGUCAGCAGGGAAGAAGUGUGAGGGGGUUAACAGCCUUUUCAUUUGACGGUACCUGCAGAGGAAGCACCGGCUAACUCCGUGCCAGCAGCCGCGGUAAUACGGAGGGUGCGAGCGUUGUUCGGAAUUACUGGGCGUAAAGGGCGCGCAGGCGGCUUUAUAAGUCAGAUGUGAAAGUCCACGGCUUAACUGUGGAAGUGCAUUUGAAACUGUGAGGCUUGAGUACCAGAGGGGAAGGUGGAAUUCCCGGUGUAGAGGUGAAAUUCGUAGAUAUCGGGAGGAAUACCGGUGGCGAAGCGACUUUCUGGCUGGAUACUGACGCUGAGGCGCGAAAGCGUGGGGAGCAAACA
RNAcentral lists this ribosomal RNA (444 nucleotides) under uncultured delta proteobacterium. RNAcentral's name for it is "bacterial SSU rRNA". It matches the Rfam family "Bacterial small subunit ribosomal RNA", at positions 338 to 774 of the family's 1533-position model. Lineage: Bacteria; Deltaproteobacteria. The record is from RNAcentral.